GUGAAGAUUGAAGAUCCACAAAAUUGAUUAUGGUGAAAUGCAAGUGUGGAGCUGUAGGGAUCAUACGAACUGCAGGAACAAAGAGAAAUCCUGGUAGGCCUUUUUAUGCAUGCCCUUUACAGGUAUUGAGUUAUCAAUUUUUUUGGUAAUUUCUAGGAUGAACCCUAGUUUGUGCUAAUCGAGGGUAUUGAAAACUUCAGGGACCAAGAAGUGGAUUUAUUUCGUGGGUAGAUGAAGAAAAGCAUACGUAUGAGGCUGAAAGCCAAAAUCUUGAGCUUGAAAUCCAUAAUGAAGAACUUCAAAUCCAAAAUCGUGACCUUGAAAUCCAGAAUGAAGAACUUGAAAUCCAAAAUCGGAACCUUAAAAUGUUGUUAAUUGUCAGUUGGAUUUUGUUUUUUGGGAUAAUUGUUUACAAGUUGUAGUAUUAGGUAUUUCAGUAAUGGUUUUUGGUUGAAGAUAAUCUAAUG
This 467-nucleotide long non-coding RNA is filed under the name Lactuca sativa (garden lettuce). RNAcentral describes it as "long non-coding RNA (LSAT_LNC000040)". Lineage: Eukaryota; Viridiplantae; Streptophyta; Magnoliopsida; Asterales; Asteraceae. The record is from RNAcentral.